Molecule: transfer RNA, 75 nt
Filed under: Candidatus Cloacimonadota bacterium
Lineage: Bacteria; Pseudomonadati; Candidatus Cloacimonadota
Also listed under: 1 other name
Description: tRNA-His
Rfam family: tRNA
About the family: Transfer RNA (tRNA) molecules are approximately 80 nucleotides in length. Their secondary structure includes four short double-helical elements and three loops (D, anti-codon, and T loops).
Source: RNAcentral
GUGGGUGUAGUUCAAUGGUAGAGCACUGGAUUGUGGUUCCAGGCGUUGCGGGUUCAAAUCCCGUCAUCCACCCCA